This 439-nucleotide ribosomal RNA is filed under the name uncultured bacterium. RNAcentral describes it as "partial 16S ribosomal RNA". It matches the Rfam family "Bacterial small subunit ribosomal RNA", at positions 338 to 795 of the family's 1533-position model. The record is from RNAcentral.
CCUACGGGUGGCUGCAGUGGGGGAUAUUGCACAAUGGGGGGAACCCUGAUGCAGCGACGCCGCGUGGGUGAAGGAGCGUUUCGGCGCGUAAAGCCCUAUCGGCAGGGAAGAAGAUGACGGUACCUGACCAAGAAGCCCCGGCUAACUACGUGCCAGCAGCCGCGGUAAUACGGAAGGCCCGAGCGUUAUCCGGAUUCAUUGGGCUUAAAGGGAGCGUAGGCGGGCGUUCAAGUCAGCUGUAAAAUCGCGCGGCUCAACCGCGCCCCGCAGUUGAAACUGGACGCCUUGAGUUCACACCAGGCAGGCGGAAUUCGUGGUGUAGCGGUGAAAUGCAUAGAUAUCACGAGGAACCCCGAUUGCGAAGGCAGCCUGCCGGGGUGCGACUGACGCUGAGGCUCGAAGGUGCGGGUAUCAAACAGGAUUAGAUACCCUAGUAGUC